This 253-nucleotide ribosomal RNA is filed under the name uncultured bacterium. Its description in RNAcentral is "partial 16S ribosomal RNA". It matches the Rfam family "Archaeal small subunit ribosomal RNA", at positions 474 to 727 of the family's 1478-position model. The record is from RNAcentral.
UACCAGCACCCCGAGUGGUCGGGACGAUUAUUGGGCCUAAAGCAUCCGUAGCCGGCCUUACAAGUCCUCCGUUAAAUCCAGCUGCUUAACAGAUGGGCUGCGGAGGAUACUAUAAGACUAGGAGGCAGGAGAGGCAAGCGGUACUCAGUGGGUAGGGGUAAAAUCCGUUGAUCCAUUGAAGACCACCAGUGGCGAAGGCGGCUUGCCAGAAUGCGCUCGACGGUGAGGGAUGCAAGCUGGGGGAGCAAACCGG